Rosa chinensis is the source of this 2079-nucleotide long non-coding RNA. RefSeq lists it as uncharacterized. The record is from RefSeq and is a predicted model, not a curated record. The transcript is spliced from 5 exons. NCBI's taxonomy places the organism in Eukaryota, Viridiplantae, Streptophyta, Magnoliopsida, Rosales, Rosaceae.
UAGCGACAUAACCCUCCGACAAAUCAGUAGCCCUUUUACCCUUCUCUAACGGCCGCAACUUCACAAUACUGGGCAAGCGUAACCUAUCUUUCAUUUUCUGUAUCCACUACAAAAAAGGAUUCAAUUAGCUUCACUUUUUUGCGUCGGCGUGUAAUUGCCGUUGCGAAAGGUGAAUAUUUUGCUUCGGCAAAUUCACCCCGUCGCAAAGACAUUAAUCCCGUACGACGGCAAAACAACCCGUCACAAAAACACCAAUCCCGUACGAUGGCAAAACAUCCCCGUCGCCAUAAAACAAAGUGUUUGCUACUGCGUAACUACGCCGUCGUAUAUUGUGAUAUGAAUUGCUACCACGAAUGUGCCGUCGGGUGUACUUUGUUGAUCUAAACUCCAUGUUAGAAGGCAAAAGAGAAUUAAACUCUGAAAAUUUUCUCUUUGGGUCAGCCUCUCUUCCGCAUCAGAUCUAUUCAGAGUACCAAAGUCACAAAUACAUGCAUCUUGUCUCUGGAGUGAGAAACAGAGAAGAGAGACCCGUAAGAGAUUGGUUCCGGUUUGAAAUUGGAAGGCACAUCAGCUCUGCCAGGGGUGGAUCCGGCCUAGGCUUGAGCCCUACCAGGCUUUUUAGGUCUCGAACAGCCCGAAGGCCCGAACUCAAUCCUCCAUUCCUCUUUCCUCCUCGAGUCCUUGGAGAGUUGGAGCACGCCAGCACUCCCCCACCGUCCAGCAAGGCAGCAACCCGUCUCCUUCUCCAGCCUCCAGCAACCCUGAUCUCUCUCUCCUUCUCCGAGUCUCCAUUUUCUUCUGCUCCUCGGCGACUGGUGACUGGCGACUGGCGACAGAUCGGUCGGCUCCUCGCGACCUCGCCUCCUCCAGUCUUCAAUUCUUGAUCAGUUCUUCUCAUCAUCUGGAGUUGUGCAGUUCUGCUGUUCUGGGUGAUUGGAUUCAUGAUAACAGUGAGUUCAAUUGCACUCGCUUAGUUGAUGGGAAAUAAUGAUGUACCUAUUGAGGAAGAGAAGCAGGUCUUAGUCAACCUUGUUGUAGUCAAGGAAAAUGAGCAAUAUGAGUUUUCUUCAUUUCGGCCAUAUCAAAAGAAUCGAAAGUGAUUGAGAAAAUCAUAGCAGGAAGGGACUGUUUGAUUGUCUUGGCCACUGGAAGUGCAAAGUCUUUGUGGUAAGAGUUCCCUCUAAUUCCUUGUGUAGCUGAGAAUGAACCAAAAAGGUAGGAGUUAGAAGAUUAUUGAUUGUCUUUAUAAAAUUGUGGACAAGUGCGUGAGAGCUCUUAUCAUAUUAUAAGUCUAUUGGAAUUUUGGAAUAAUGAGUCUUAUUUUGUGUAGCAUAAAAAGAUCUUCAUUAAUCGAUUACAUAUGUAUCGAGACAACUGAUAAUUAGCUGGUACAUAGUCCUUCUCAGUAGUAUUUCCUUGACAUUGGACCCAUCAAAACUUUGGAGCAAAUAGCUGAUUUCACUACAAAAAAGAAUUCAAUUAGCUUCACCAAUUCUUGAUAAUUAUCAUUACUCUUCUGAGUUGGAUUCCUUAUUAGUGCAUGUAUAGCCUUUAGAUUUUAUGUUUAUGGAUGCAUAUAACAUCAACUUUGAUGCAAUCAGAAGCCGAUGAUGGGUAUAGGUGGACUGUAUGAUGAUGAUGAUGAUGGUAUGUGCUGGUCUAUUAAACUCUUCCCUUCUCCUUUUUGGUAUUUCUGUUCAAUUUAUAUCUCUACACUUACUCACAGAUAAAACAAUGUUGUGCUACUUUUUCUCUUAAUAGCCUUCAACUAAGAACUCUUACACUUUCAGUAGGUUCGUUACUAUAUAUAAAUUUCUUUGGCAUUCCCAUGUAGACCAAGACAAGGUAGAAGGUUCUAAGUUAUUUUUGCGAAGGUUAAUGUUUCAAUAACUAUAUCAGCACUCCUAGCUUUCCGUCACUUUUAUGGUGCUCGGGCUUGUCCUCAUAAUGUGGUUCCUUCAGGCUAUGAUUCCCUUCUUGGAAAGGUUUGAGCCCCAAAAAACCCAUGUAUAGCCAUCAUUGCUUGUAUAAAUAAUUAAAUAUAAGUAUAAAAAUGUAGCUUUCAGAUUCUUUUUCUAA